This 601-nucleotide long non-coding RNA is filed under the name Capsicum annuum. Its description in RNAcentral is "long non-coding RNA (CANN_LNC021745)". Lineage: Eukaryota; Viridiplantae; Streptophyta; Magnoliopsida; Solanales; Solanaceae. The record is from RNAcentral.
CGCGACUGAGAUGGCAGGCGGGUCAGGACGUCGCUGCUCGAGCAGGGAUCCAACCUAACCGCGCGUGCCGAACACAACUCACGCGCCGUGCGUCCAAAUGCUCCGUCGAUGCACGCCCAGCACCGGCCCCAACGCCCGGCAAUAGAUGCCGUGCGCUGCUGCCCGUGCGGACGUUGCAAGGUCGAAGCAAGUCCCGCUUGACACGAUAGCCCGCCCUUGGGGGGAGCAGAGGAGAUGAAGGCACGCCGAGGCUCGUGGCCCCGCGCACGAAAUGUGAGGGGCGAAAGGCGAUCGAUAAAACUUGAUAAUGCCUGGGCAUUAGGUAUGCAGCACAGGAAACCGACUUCGAGCAAGCCUGCAUUGAGCUUGCCCCGGGACUGAGAUUGCAGGCGGAUCAGGACGUCGCAGCUCGAGCAGGGAUCCAACCUAACCGCACGUGCUGAACACAACUCACGCGACGUGCUUCCAAAUGCUACGUCGAUGCACGCCCAGCACCGGCCCCAACGCCCAGCAAUAGAUGCCGUGCGCUGCUGCCCAUGCGGACAUUGCAAGGCUGAAGCAAGUCCCGCUUGACACGAUAGCCCGCCCUUGGGGGGAGCAG